CCUGGUAUCUUAGGCAUAGGUUAAGUACACCAACCCUUUUUGAACUUGGUGGUUAAAACUUAUUGCGGUGACAAUACUGUAGGAGGGGUCCUACGGAAAAAAAGCUCGAUGCCAGAA
Molecule: ribosomal RNA, 117 nt
Filed under: Eptatretus burgeri (inshore hagfish)
Lineage: Eukaryota; Metazoa; Chordata; Myxini; Myxiniformes; Myxinidae
Source: RNAcentral